GAUGAACGCUGGACGGCGUGCUUAACACAUGCAAGUCGAACGAGUGGAUGGUCUUCGGACCUGAAGCUAGUGGCGGACGGGUGAGUAACACGUGAGGAACCUGCCUUUCAGAGUGGGAUACCGUUUGGAAACGAACGUUAAUACCGCAUAACGUAUAUUUGUCGCAUGGCAGAUAUACCAAAGAUUUAUCGCUGAGAGAUGGCCUCGCGUCUGAUUAGAUAGUUGGUGAGGUAACGGCCCACCAAGUCUACGAUCAGUAGCCGGACUGAGAGGUUGAUCGGCCACAUUGGGACUGAGACACGGCCCAG
RNAcentral lists this ribosomal RNA (308 nucleotides) under uncultured bacterium. Its description in RNAcentral is "bacterial SSU rRNA". It matches the Rfam family "Bacterial small subunit ribosomal RNA", at positions 28 to 334 of the family's 1533-position model. The record is from RNAcentral.